UACGGAGGGUGCAAGCGUUAAUCGGAAUUACUGGGCGUAAAGGGUGCGUAGGCGGUUGUUUAAGUCUGUUGUGAAAUCCCCGGGCUCAACCUGGGAAUGGCAAUGGAUACUGGGCAGCUAGAGUGUGUCAGAGGAUGGUGGAAUUCCCGGUGUAGCGGUGAAAUGCGUAGAGGUCGGGAGGAACAUCAGUGGCGAAGGCGGCCAUCUGGGACAACACUGACGCUGAAGCCCGAAAGCGUGGGGAGCAAACAGG
This 253-nucleotide ribosomal RNA is filed under the name uncultured bacterium. RNAcentral's name for it is "partial 16S ribosomal RNA". It matches the Rfam family "Bacterial small subunit ribosomal RNA", at positions 524 to 776 of the family's 1533-position model. The record is from RNAcentral.